AUCACUUCCCUGCCUUUUGGCUAAGAUCAAGUGUAAUAUCUGUUCUUAUCAGUUUAAUAGCUGAUACAUCCUUUAUCCGAGGACAAUAUAGUAAAUGGGUUUUUGGACUAGGGGCUGGAAUACGAGCUUGCUCCAUCCACUCCAUGCAUUGACCUGGUACUGCAGUAUCUCCAGGAAUGGUGUACCCCUC
This is a small nuclear RNA of Rattus rattus (black rat), 190 nucleotides long. RefSeq annotates it as U2 spliceosomal RNA. The transcript has a single exon. Lineage: Eukaryota; Metazoa; Chordata; Mammalia; Rodentia; Muridae. The record is from RefSeq and is a predicted model, not a curated record.